AACGAACGCUGGCGGCAUGCUUAACACAUGCAAGUUGAACGCAGAAUUGGCAACAAGGACGCGUAGCAAACGGGUGAGUAAUACAUGAGAAUCUGCCCUCUGGCGGGGAAUAACCCUGGGAAACUAGGGACAAUACCGCAUAAGCUUGGGAACAAGGAAAGGCGCAAGCCACCGGAGGAUGAGCUCAUGUCAGAUUAGGUUGUUGGUGGGGUAAAGGCCUACCAAGCCUGUGAUCUGUAGCUGGUCUGAGAGGACGAUCAGCCACACUGGGACUGAGACACGGCCCAGACUCCUACGGGAGGCAGCAGUGGGGAAUAUUGGACAAUGGGGGAAACCCUGAUCCAGCAAUGCCGCGUGAAUGAAGAAGGCCUUCGGGUUGUAAAGUUCUUUUACCCGUGAAGAUAAUGACGGUAACGGGAGAAUAAGCCCCGGCUAACUCUG
This 441-nucleotide ribosomal RNA is filed under the name uncultured Pseudomonadota bacterium. Its description in RNAcentral is "bacterial SSU rRNA". It matches the Rfam family "Bacterial small subunit ribosomal RNA", at positions 29 to 505 of the family's 1533-position model. The record is from RNAcentral. Lineage: Bacteria; Pseudomonadati; Pseudomonadota.